UGGGGAAUAUUGGACAAUGGGGGCAACCCUGAUCCAGCCAUGCCGCGUGUGUGAAGAAGGCCUUUUGGUUGUAAAGCACUUUAAGCAGUGAAGAAGACUCCAUGGUUAAUACCCAUGGACGAUGACAUUAGCUGCAGAAUAAGCGCCGGCUAACUCUGUGCCAGCAGCCGCGGUAAUACAGAGGGUGCAAGCGUUAAUCGGAAUUACUGGGCGUAAAGCGAGCGUAGGUGGCUUGAUAAGUCAGAUGUGAAAGCCCCGGGCUUAACCUGGGAACGGCAUCUGAUACUGUUAGGCUAGAGUAGGUGAGAGGAAGGUAGAAUUCCAGGUGUAGCGGUGAAAUGCGUAGAGAUCUGGAGGAAUACCGAUGGCGAAGGCAGCCUUCUGGCAUCAUACUGACACUGAGGUUCGAAAGCGUGGGUAGCAAACA
This 427-nucleotide ribosomal RNA is filed under the name uncultured bacterium. RNAcentral describes it as "partial 16S ribosomal RNA". It matches the Rfam family "Bacterial small subunit ribosomal RNA", at positions 355 to 774 of the family's 1533-position model. The record is from RNAcentral.